UACGGAGGAUGCAAGCGUUAUCCGGAUUCAUUGGGUUUAAAGGGUGCGUAGGCGGCUGUUUAAGUCAGUGGUGAAAUCCUGCGGCUCAACCGUAGAACUGCCAUUGAUACUGAAUAGCUUGAAUGUAGUUGAAGUAGGCGGAAUGAGUAGUGUAGCGGUGAAAUGCUUAGAUAUUACUCAGAACACCGAUUGCGAAGGCAGCUUACUAAGCUAUAAUUGACGCUGAGGCA
RNAcentral lists this ribosomal RNA (230 nucleotides) under uncultured bacterium. Its description in RNAcentral is "partial 16S ribosomal RNA". It matches the Rfam family "Bacterial small subunit ribosomal RNA", at positions 524 to 753 of the family's 1533-position model. The record is from RNAcentral.